CCGGCGUCUCCCCCGGCGUUGGCGUCUCCUGCUGACUCUUCUGGGCGCUUCCUUGUGCUUACAGUCCUGGUUCCGAUUCCUGCUGACGUUUCACGGCCUACAGCCGACUUGCAUAAACGCUUUCUCUUGGGAUUCUCACCCCGUGAGAUGGACACGGCAGGGUGAUGACAGCUUUACAGGCAGGAGAAGUUACGGGUCACAGGUUGAGUGACUCUCCCUAAGAACCGCGUGCUGGGAUUUUAAUAAUGGUUCCUGACAGAACCGUGUUUUUGGCUUGGUAACAUUGGCUCAGUGGUUAAACUGUUGUGAGCUUACUUCCUCAUCUGUGAAAUGGGGGAAAUUAUAGCCACCUUGUGAAACCGGUGUGAAGAAUACAUAAAAUAACAGAAGAAGAAUCUAGCGCAAGGACUGGCCCGUGGUGAGCGCUUUGGACUGUCACAUCCCUCAGUGUCUUCAUGGAAGUGCCCACUAUGGAAGAAUGGCUGAAUGACAUGGUUGGAAUGGAAUGUAGCAGUCAUCUUAUCUAACCACACAGAUAACCUGCCAGGAGAAGAAUGCCUCACUUCCUCAUGAUAAUUUUGAAGACUUUCUGAGGUGAUAAUAUUAUCCAAUUACCUCACAAUCACAAGGUGUACUGCAGUGACUGCAAACUCUGUGUGCCUCAUUCAGCAAGUGUCACAGAACAAGGAAAAAGAAAGAUUGAGAGGGAGGUGGGACCUGUUAGCUGAGAGGAGACCAAGGACUCAAACUGAAGAUUAAAUACUGUGCAAUGGGAGCAGGGAUUUAUUUCUCUGGAGGACAAAAAAAGGACAAUACCUAUAGGGAAAAGCAACAAACAGUUCUCCCUGGAAACCAGGUCAGAGUUCUUGCUAAAGUGACAGUGGCUUCUAUAGCUGUGGUGGCCUUGAACUACACAAUACCCUUCUGUUUGUCCAGGCCAGUCUUGACUCUUGCCUAAUAAAAAUACCCAAGGUCUUGGGCUUCACCCCUCUCAUCUGGCUUCUCCUCCACCUUUCCAGUAAGCCUGGGAAAUAGGAAGUGUGAAGAGGGAGCUGAAUGGAGGCUAAGUUUUGACGAUGAUAUUAGAUGAUCUUUGAACCUGACUUAGAGGAUCCUGUGUUCCCAUCCCCAUUUCUGUCCAGGUCUUCUUGUGGGGACAAAAACCACCCAUCUCUGGGGCUGGGAAAUAGCAGAGAGGGCCUGGUGAGACCUCAGCAGCUCCUGGGCAGAGUCUGCCACCUCCAUCACUGUGCCCUGUCCAUGUCUUCCUUGCACAAGCACUUCAGCAUGUGCGUGUGAUCACAGGUCACCUAGUGACUGUGUGUGUGCAGGGCUCUCUCAUCUUUGCAUCCUUGGGGCCCAGAACAAAAGCCAUGAAGGUUUU
This is a long non-coding RNA of Leptonychotes weddellii (Weddell seal), 1384 nucleotides long. RefSeq lists it as uncharacterized. NCBI's taxonomy places the organism in Eukaryota, Metazoa, Chordata, Mammalia, Carnivora, Phocidae. The record is from RefSeq and is a predicted model, not a curated record.